UGUUUUCCAUAAACAAUUAUUUUUUUUCUCUUAUUUUGUUUCUGUCGGUGUACAGAUCUAUCUCUAUCUCUCUCUUUCUUAUCUUCUUUCAUGUUUUUGUCGAUGUUCUUGUAGAGAACAGGUCAAAAUCGUGAAUCAAAAAUCAAAAUAUACAAUUCUUUUGCUUAAUUUUCAACCGGGUGAAGGAACAUGGUUAAUCUAAGAUUAGUCAUCUGCAUGAGUAGAUCGGGCUUCAAUAAUCGUCUUAACCAUAAGAAAAGUCAAAACGCAGGCCAUUGAAGGACGCCUUCAACCUCGACGAAGACAUCUACAAAGAACGGUGAAUGGAUUUUGUAGCUGGGCUUUUGGUUCAAAACUCUGUCAAGUUCUUACUGAUUUACUGCCAGUUUCUCCAUACCUUGGUUACAACUCAGUGAAAGAUUUUUUCCAAACCAUUCAAAUGAGACCUAAUCCCCAAUGCUCUAAUGCAGCUUGUUUAGAACGGCAGAAAAAGUACAUGCUUGCGAAACCUGUAAGGGGCGUUUCUGCUAAAGCUAAGAUGGAAGCCGAAGCAGAGUGCCUACAGCUAUAGAUGAUGGUUGAUAACAGGAUUUUGCUAAGAUCCUAUUCAAAUGUUGAAGUAUAAAGGAUGUCAAUCCAAUUCUAAGAGAAUGCGAAGCACUAGGAAUGCAAGACCAUGCUUAAGCUAAAUGCUAUCAAGAUGAGAUGAGAGAUUAUACUAAAAUAGGAAUAAAAUGCAACAAAACAAAAUACUUUCUUUGAUUAUGAGAAUGAGAGGACUCAUGGGAUAAGGGAAUAUGACUUUGGGUGAUCAAACUCAAACUAAGGUGCUAACUUACAAUCAAUCUAUCUACCUUAGGCCUAGACACAAGACUAAGCAAACUUUAUCUCUAAAUGAAUGCUCAUUUGCUUCCAAAACUCAAGCAUCUAAUCUCUUAGGUUGAAUGUUUAGGAAGCAAUCAUUAACAAUAAGCCUAAUAGCCAUCUUAACACCUUUAACAACAAAUCUCUUUGGUAGAGUAUGUUAAAAGCUUAGGAGAGUUGGUUCAGACAUUUCAUCGAACACCUUGUGGGUGGGAAAUGUCUAGAACUCAACUUUAAGGAGGCCAACCCUAAAGAAGCAUUAAAAUUACUCUACUAGCAAGGAAUAAGAAGGAUCUAUACCUAAACACCUUAGAUCAAGCCUAAUCACCCAUGAUCUCCCUAACCCAUGAAUCCAAAAGUGGAUCUACUCACUAAUCACCAUGAUUACUCUUGAACCCAUGAGGUUUCCAAGCUUAAUCAUGUUUAAGAAAGAUCAAUAAGAAAUGAAAUUAUAAACACUCAAGAACACAAGAACAAAGGGGAAGAACUUUCACCCAAAAGAGGUUUUGUGAUUCUUAAGAGAAAAUAAAAUAAUCUCUCCAAAAUGGAGAUUACAAGUAUUUAUACUUAGGUUUAGGGUAAAGAGAGACACAUAUGAUAAAAGACUAGAAUGCCCUUUGUAUAGGGCUAAUUAGAACUUCAAAAUAGUGUUUAAAAUGACCCAAGGUCGAAUUGGGUCGAACCGGACCGGUUUGAGAAAACCAGCCUCGACCACACUCUCUUCUCUUCACGCCCGGCAUGGUGAUCCCGGUCCUGCAUCCCGGUCCUGCCUCACGCCCGGCUUGCUCUUCACGGUCCUCCAUCCCGGUCCAUGGCUUCACGCCUGGGGUGUACUUCCCGGUCCUCACAAUCCGGUCCUGUCUCUUCACGCCCGGGGUGUACUUCCCGGUCCUCACAAUCCGGUCCUGUCUCUUCACGCCCGGCAUGGUGACCCCGGUCUCGACAUUCCGGUCUAGUCGAGUCAAGAGAGUACUUGGUUUGCUGAGCUUCAUUCUUCACCUCCUUUGGAUCUUUGAGCUCUUAAACACUUCACAUCAUCACAUAGUAUGCUCCAACACCUGAUAGGGACAUAUGAAUGCAAUAUGGAUCCUAAAGACACUAAAAUCUAAGCUACAUGAUCAAAAUGCAUAAGAUAUGAAAGCUAAAAACAUGUAAAUAUGCAAGAUAUCAAUGGUCCACUCUAUGAUUUAAAUGAAUGGAACAUAAGGUAACAACUCAAGUGAAGUAGUUAAAAAUCGUAUCUGAGUCCUUUUAAAUUGCAACUUGGAACCUGAUAGGUGUUUUAUGUCUUAUUACAAGUGUGGUUGAUGAUGAAAAUGAGAAUGAUACAGACUACGCAGGUGAUAUGUGGACAUCAUCUACCUAUACAGAUGGAUUUAAGGACCGAGUGACAGUAUUACAGACAGAGGGACAUGAGAGAGAAGCUCAAGAUUUUUCAUGUUUGAACAUAGAGAUGAGCAAAGGGAAGCCACUAUCAUCACUCAAUAGUAAUUAAAUGUAGGUGUUCUCAGGUGUUUAUGCUUGUGUGAAAAAUUUUAUUUUUCUUUUAAACAAUCAUCAUGUUAUUCUUUAAUUGUUUUUAAUUUUAUUACAUGAUAUUUUCAUCUCCGAUGAUUGCCGGAGUCGAGCUGUAUGGGAAGACAACAAAAGAAACUGGAAAGCAGCUGAAAAUAUGACAGAGCUAUGUAAAGGACCUGACAACAGAAGGUCGACGCUGAAAGAGCUGCAUGAGAAGAUAACAGUCUGCAGGGAACAACAGAAUCAUAACAAACAGCAAGAAUAUGGAACGUAAGGAAAUGUCUUCAAAACAGACUUCAUUUGAACUACUCUGCAAUUCAUUGAUGGAUGGUGUUGUAUUUUCGCUUGCAGGGAUGAAGAUGAAGGAGUGGGAAGAAGAAUGAGAUUAUGCGUGAGUGGUAUUGUAAGCUAAAAGGGUUUCACAAUAGAGUAAAAAGAGUGAAGGAUAAGACAGACGACAGUGUUGGUGAGAGAGAUGGAAAAAGAGACUAUUUCGCCAUUGAUUCAUCUAUUAUUUACGCAUGUAUGUUCUUUAUAAACUGAAUCAUAGAAGUUAAGUUAUCGAUAGGCUAAAUAAGUGGGAUUGUUAGGAAUUAUUAGUGUUGCACUUGGUUAGUAAUCGACAUAUAUGGAUUAGUUAGGUGGAAUAUUAAAAAUAAUUGUCUGAAUUAUUUUAAGCAUAUGGAAUAUUGUACAUUGCAUCUAAUAUUCAGCAGUAUAAAUGCAAGUGGCAUUAAAAAACCAAAGCUUAUUAUUAAAUAUAGGAAAUUGAAUUAAAACAAAUAACAAUUAAAAAACAUAAAAAAACUUAAAUUUAAAGUACGAUAAAAACCAAAGCAAAACAACAACUUCAAACAUAACGAUUUCAACCAAGCUUAACCACUCUUGUUCUUCUCUUGUUUGAUUAUCUUGCUGCACUGUUUCUUGGAAUCAGAUGAUAGGUCCUGUAGGUCAGAUAGAUCCUCCUUGCGUUUUGUUAUAGGAGUUGGACAGUCAUCUGAUGAAACUUGAUCCAACAUCAUAACCUAAAUCCAUUUAAAAUAAAUACAGUCAUUUUUAUAAAUUAGAAACCAAUAUGAACAUAAGGUGUAAAGAUAAAAGUUCAUACAAAAAAAAACUUACAGAUCCAGAUGACAUUGUAGAAGAAGUUGUCAACAUAUCAGAAGUUGAUAGAGACUGAGAAUCGGUAGUAUAAACUUUAUCUCCAGAACAAACUUCUAAAACAAUAAAAGUCUCUGAUCCAUUUGUGACAUUGUCUGAGGUUAUGGAUACCCCAAAACAAAAAGACUUCCCCACCAAAGAUAGAACAGGUUCUGGAAGAAUCUCAGGAUCUUCAAUCUGAUAUAUUUUAGGAAUAAAUGUGGUUCAAUAUAAAUUGCUCAACGAAAAUAAUUAAGUGCAAAGAUUAAAUUACAAAAAAAAGAUAUACCUCCUCAUAAGAGCCAUCCCAUAAAUCUUCAGCAUCAACUCCAACAAUGGACUUACCAACAGAGCCUAGCAACAUUGCAGUGCAUGUUCCAGAGUCAUCUUUUACAACCAAGUGUAGCUUGUAUCUUUUUUUAAAAAAAUUACAGGAUAUAUAUAAGAACAAUAUUUUGUAAAAAUAUGAGUUAAACAAAUUGUUUAAGUAAAUAUCAUUAACUUACUUGGGUCCCACAUUAGUGAUAUUAGAACGACAAAUUUCACAACGAAACAAAGGCUUAUCUUUUUUGUCAUCCUUGCAUAAUCAACAUUGGGAAGCUUAUUGACACGCUUUUGGUGACGGUUACAACCAAAAUAGAACCAAGCCCAAUCGGUAUCUAUUGCUUCAAUAGUACACACGAUUUUGCAAUACUCCACCUAAACAAUUUUCAAAAUUAAAAUCGAUUUUAGUUAAAUGUUUGUAAUCAUUAGGAAAAAAUACAAAAAGGCAAAAUAUACCUGAUUGGAGUCAACGAUUUCUGAAAUUGUUUUGAUCUCAGCAUCAUUCCAGUCAUAUAAAAUUCGUUUACCAUCCUUUUUUCCAGUGGAUUUA
Long non-coding RNA from Raphanus sativus (radish), 4396 nucleotides. RefSeq lists it as uncharacterized. The record is from RefSeq and is a predicted model, not a curated record. The transcript is spliced from 9 exons. NCBI's taxonomy places the organism in Eukaryota, Viridiplantae, Streptophyta, Magnoliopsida, Brassicales, Brassicaceae.